CAGCGAGCCAGCGGAGACCGGCAG
RNAcentral lists this microRNA (24 nucleotides) under Triticum aestivum (bread wheat). Its description in RNAcentral is "tae-miR1129". The record is from miRBase by way of RNAcentral. Lineage: Eukaryota; Viridiplantae; Streptophyta; Magnoliopsida; Poales; Poaceae.